GACGAACGCUGGCGGCGUGCUUAACACAUGCAAGUCGAACGGAAAGGCCCUGCUUUUGUGGGGUGCUCGAGUGGCGAACGGGUGAGUAACACGUGAGUAACCUGCCCUUGACUUUGGGAUAACUUCAGGAAACUGGGGCUAAUACCGGAUAGGAGCUCCUGCUGCAUGGUGGGGGUUGGAAAGUUUCGGCGGUUGGGGAUGGACUCGCGGCUUAUCAGCUUGUUGGUGGGGUAGUGGCUUACCAAGGCUUUGACGGGUAGCCGGCCUGAGAGGGUGACCGGCCACAUUGGGACUGGGAUACGGCCCAGACUCCUACGGGAGGCAGCAGUGGGGAAUAUUGCACAAUGGGCGGAAGCCUGAUGCAGCAACGCCGCGUGCGGGAUGACGGCAUUCGGGUUGUAAACCGCUUUCGCCUGUGACGAAGCGUGAGUGACGGUAAUGGGUAAAGAAGCACCGGCUAACUACGUG
This 468-nucleotide ribosomal RNA is filed under the name uncultured bacterium. Its description in RNAcentral is "partial 16S ribosomal RNA". It matches the Rfam family "Bacterial small subunit ribosomal RNA", at positions 28 to 507 of the family's 1533-position model. The record is from RNAcentral.